GGGAGUUGAGGGGAUGGAGGAUGGAAAGGAAAUGAGUAACCAUUAGCUGGUGAGGAAGAAAGGAAAGCCAGAGGAGGAGUGAAGUAAUGUACGGGGAGCAUUGCCAGGAUUGGAAGGAUGGAAGACUCUGCCAGAUAUAAGACCUUCAGCCUACUCCAUCCAAGGCAUCCAUCUGUCUUCAGAAGAGAUUAGAAUUUUGUUCUGAAGCCAUGCAAAGAGUAAGACCAAGUGCUAACAUCCAAUUUGCAUGUGCCGGGAGAGAAAAUUCUUCAUGGAUCUCUGGUGCUCCUACACAUCUCACUGAUGGAGUAACUGGGGCCAAGGGAGAUUACCAACUUGCCCAAGAUGUCAACAUUAGUAAGAGAAAGAGCCAAAUUUCAAACUCAGGUAAAACUUCCACAUGGCCUGGACAAGACCUCGGAGGUGAUAAAAAUCUUGUAUGACCCUGGGAUUCUCAGAUUUGAAAUCAGAAGGCUCGCUAUUUCAGAAUAAACACAAAGCUAAUAUAGAUAUAGUUGAAAAUUUACAGCCCAAACUUAGACUUAGUUUUGCUUAGCAACUGGACCAAAAUA
RNAcentral lists this long non-coding RNA (572 nucleotides) under Homo sapiens (human). RNAcentral's name for it is "HSALNT0307595". Lineage: Eukaryota; Metazoa; Chordata; Mammalia; Primates; Hominidae. The record is from RNAcentral.